Molecule: long non-coding RNA, 1088 nt
Organism: Oreochromis aureus
Lineage: Eukaryota; Metazoa; Chordata; Actinopteri; Cichliformes; Cichlidae
Exons: 2
Source: RefSeq, a predicted model, not a curated record
UUUCAGAAACGAAACCACUGAAAUGAGCUCCAUCUUUCUCUGCCGUGCUUUUCUUUGGGAGGUUAGGGAGUCAAACGGUGGCUGUUUGGCAGUAAUUAUGUGUGCUAAAGGUCAAAUGGAAAUCACGCCCUGAAACCCAACACUGACAUGAAGGCAUCAAUGAAACUUGAAGAUUUGGCUGUUUAUAUUUGGAUCCAUUACUCUGUGUCAUCGGGAAGAAGCGCACCCGCCUCAAAUUCAGCCUACAGCAGCACGACGAGCCCAAGGAAGCGCCAAGAAGAUGACGAGACAGGCCUAAAGAAUCCCAGCUUUAAUUUUACUGCCUUAAAAUGGUGCUAAGACGUCUACGUUAUCCGAACAGAGCACUUUGCUCUCGCACUGCAGGCUUACUUGUUCCUAAAAGUAGAAUGGGAGGCAGAGCCUUCAGUUUUCAGGCCCCUCUUCUGUGGAACCAGCUUCCAGUUUGGAUUCAGGAGACAGACACUAUCUCUACUUUCAAGAUUAGGCUUCAAACUUUUGAUAAAGGGCUGAUCAGGUUAUCCUGAAUCAGCCAGUGGCAACAAAAGACUCUCCCGAGUCUUCCCACCGUUGCCAACUAACGAGAUCUUUUUGGACACCAUCUCCACGUGGUAACAGCCGCUCCCUACAGUCUGCCAGCAGAGAAGCAUGCUGAGCCCAUAACUGUGUCGUCUGUUGGAAAAGUUGGUUCAUGCUAUAACGGUACAAAGUGUUGAGAUGAAAUUAUUUGAAGUGCCUUAAUGUUGAGUCUCAUAUUAACCAAAAUGCCAUAUAAUCAUAUAGUGUAGUAUUAAGUGGACACGGCCCUGAAAAAUAAAGGCAUUAGACUACGUGUCCUUCAGUGGAAAAAUGCUGUUGACUCUCACUCAUGCUUGCCUGGGAAAAAGUAGAUAAAGGGGACCAUCUUUUAGUGGAAAGUUACUGAAAUGCUGUUGUUUAGACUAGAAUGGGGUAGCUGGUAAUAAAACUGUUAAGCGUGCGUCACCAUUUUGAGAUCCGGGGCAACGUGUCAUGCAGGAUGCAUCACCCUUCUAGAAGUAUUGUGUAAGAGAAUAAACGUGUGAAAUGGU